AUAAAUAAUGUGCUUGUGAUAUUUCAGGUUUCUGCUGCUGCUUUGGCUCAUGUGAUUUAUAGAAAUCCCGAUCUAAAAUGUUUGAAAGCAAGAGGCUGUAGGCAUUUGCUAGUAAAGGAAAGUAAGACGGAAGAGAGAAACUUGCCUGCUUUAUUGCGUACUCCAAAAGAGUGGUACUCUGAGCUUGGCAAGUCCUGCAAAUUGGACGAGAUUCAACUUGGAUGGGGUUUUUCAUCUCUUUAUAUGGAAGCACUUAAACCGGCAUUUAGAACAUUAAGAACGGUAGUUGUUGGUUUAGGUGGAUCCUUGGGCCAAGAUGGGCUGAAGCAGUUAUCAGAUAUCUGUCCUUUGAUUGAGACCAUGGUUCUAUAUUUUCAGGUAAUGAUUGUUUAGGAGAUAUAAUUAAUGUCAUCCGUAGCAAAUUAUCCGAUCAUCAUAAUUGAUGAGUGUUGAUUGCAAGCUUUGCAUAAAAUGUUCAAGAUUUAGGUUGUAUAUUUUCUCUUGACCAGCAAGAGUGAGACAACAGUGGAACUAAAACGGUAUAAGAAUAGAAAUAUUAUACUCAUAGGAACUAGGUCUUGGCAUUUUCUAGUUUGCUCAUUGGUACUCUCUCUCUCUCUCUCAUAAUUCUUUUAUCUCCCAGCAGCAAAAGGCAACUAUCAUUGAACAUCACUUAUCAGUUAAAACCUCUCACGUGAACCAUAUGUUUCUGAUGAAGUUGGAAGCUUUGGUGAUCUCCUGAUCACUAGAGUACAAUUUAUGGAGCUUUUUCGGUGAUCGUUUUUAGUUAUAUGAUAUACUAACUGAUGCUUGAAGCCAUGCACUAAUACAUUGUCUGAUGUUAACAGGUGAUAACUGAUUCUACUAUAAUGCAUGUUAUGAAAACCUUGUUGCAGUUGCAAGUCUUGGCUCUAUCCUAUUGCAUUGGUGAGAUUUCAUCAUUAAGCUUUAAGUUCUUGAUGCCGAAUCUGAAGAACCUGAAACUUGAAAGAGUAACACCAUGGAUGUCAAAUGAAGAUUUGGUUAAUCUGACACAGAAUUGCCCCAAGUUAGUCAAGCUUUCAUUGACAGGGUGCACAAUGCUUAAUUCAGGCGAGUAAUUUCUACCUGAUAACCAGUCUGUAGAAAUUUCAAUGACACUAAAUGCAAUUUUCAUGCAGUGUGACUCUAAUAAGAAUUCUUAUGCUCUGAGUUUCAUAAGCUGCUGUAUAAUCGAGAAUUAAUACUCGUAUAUCAUUUUUUAUUAUAUACAUGCAUCCUUUUGUCUGGGGAUGACUGAGUGAAGUGAUUUGAAUACUGGCUAAAAUAAUAAUAAAAACUUUUCCUUUCCCUUGUUAUGUUCUUUUCAGAAUCCCAAGAUAUUAUUUCAAGUGGUUGGCCAGGGUUGAUAUCCAUUCAUCUUGAGGUUUGCUGUCACCAUUUUCUCUUGGGAUGCCUUUUUAUUAUUUUUUUAAAAAGAUAUGUAGAUCUUACAUUUGCUACCAACUUUGCAAGAGGAGGAUAAAGACUGAAAUACUAUUAUCUGAUAGUAAAUUUGCUAUUACUUUUUUUGUUUUUGCAUACACCUAAGCAGAUGACCUAAACAAUAUUAACAGUUUUGUGUAACCCAAUUCCUGACUAAGGGCAGAUUUUCGACCCCUUUUUUUUUUUCCCUUAUUUUUGCAACCUCUUGCUACAUCUCUAAAAUUUUCUUCUAUACCUGUGAUUCACCCAAUUUUAUUGAGUGUAGAGGAUGGACAAAGUAGCAAUUAAAAAUUAAAACUUGUCUAAACUUGAGGGGCAUGUUGAAGACAACAUUAAAUGAUAUAAAUUGUGUCCUUAUCUAAUAGCUUAAGCAUUUAGAUCAAGCCGUUUAACAUGGUGUCACAUCAAGCAAAGGUCAGUCAAGUCUCGGCUCUGUCCAUUUAAAUGAAUUGUCCACAUGUUAAGUUUUGAUGGACGUGUUGUCGAUGGUAUUUGAAUGAUAUAAAUAUGCCCUAUCUAACAAUUUAAGCUAUUAGAUCAAGUGGUUCAACAAUAAUGAUUGCUGCUGUUAUUUUCCAAUUAGAUUCACCACCUUUCAUAAAGAGAAGUUUUCUAACCUCUUUCAAAAUUCCAAAAUGUGAAAGAAGAACUGUUUUAUAAGUUCAAAAUCAACAAAGAAUUUAAAGUUUUCUGAACAUGCAUGUGAGGGUCUUCAAUUACAAGAGAAGUUCACAGGGAGAGGUGGUCCAUAAUUUGAUCAAGAACGAACCAUUUUUGAUAUGUGCCAGUCCUCUUGCUAGUGAGCACUCAUGUACCAUUAAAGAUUAAGAAGCAAAAUGGAUCAAAGGAAAGAGGAGGUAACAAAGUUAAAAUCAUGAAGUUGGUAAGAAGCAAAAGGGAAGAAAUUACUGCCUGAAGUUGGCCUUGGGCCUUCUUUGAAUCUGAAUUAUAUAAUUCUUUUUUCAUUUAGGGAAUAGAAUCCUUCCUUGAAAGUCAUUUUGAGUUCCCCCAAAGGAUUUCUCCAGUUGUCAAUUACUAUAACUUGCACAAACAGCAAACAGGCAUUCUCUUUGUUGGCCACUAUAUACAUCUACAGGGUACUUUAUCCCCUGAAGUUGGCAUUUGGUAUGCAAGAGCAUAUGCACAGUAUAGGAAUGGACUUGUGAAAUGAAUGAAGAUGGGAAUGAAAUGCAAUAGACAUGGGAUAUCUCAUGUUUGGUUUGUCUAGGAAUAAGAACAGCAAUGGGAUCAGGUUCCACAUUUUUGAUUUCUUAUAUUUGGUCUGUUAUGAAGCAUGGUAAUGAAAUACAGAUUGUGAAAUGGCUAUGCAUACCUUACUGAAAUUUUAUAUUUUAAGCAUUAAUUCAUGUAAUUGGGAAAAUAAUGUCACAUGUCAGAAUUUGAAAACACGUUGCAUUCCAGAUUAUCUAGAUGCUUACGCUGGAUGGAAUGCCAUGAGCCUACUCGAUAUCUUCCUUGCCUGCUUCACUAGAGGGGGAAAAAAUAGGGAGAGGAAGAUAAAUAUUUUUGAAUCUUUCUUCUGUCAAUGGUUGAACCUUCUUGCCCAUGCUUCUACAAGAAGAAGAAGAGAAGCCUAAUCAGACACUAAACUACAGUUACCUUACUGAAGACUCAAAAGAAAAAAUUGAAGAUUAGAUUUUUGAGACAUCUGAAGAUCAAAUUUGCAGAUUCAAUGCUUAAUUCCAUGGUUCUUGAGUUCAUGCUCUCUCAUAUUUUAAUAAUAUCUUCUUGGUGGUUAUUUUACAUGUUCUUUCUAUUGAGAAUGUUUAUACGAGUGUAGUUCAUCUUCUAAGUUGCUUUCUCACUAUCAUAAAUUCAAUGUCUUUUAUGGAAUUUACACCAACAUUAAGGAGGAGGAGCCAAAUCGAUAGAAAUUAAAACCUGAAAUUGGGAAGAGAUGCAAAAGUUUGGCGGUGUUGAAAUUUGUUAAAAAACGGGGGUUCCAUUUUUGUGAAAGAGACCAUAAUUAUAAACCCCACCAAAAUGAGAGCAGUAUCUACGAUAUAGGAUGAAGUGAAUAUAAAUAUUAUUUCAUUCAUUUGAUUGAUGUAUUUCAUCAUCAGUUCUUAUCCUUUUCGGUAUCUUUGUAACAGCGCAUGUUAUUUGUUGUUUAGGACUGUGGAGAAGUAACAACCAAUGACGUUGUAUCUCUUCUGGACUGUCAUGCCCUUGAAGAUCUUAUGCUACGUCACACUGUGAGUCUUCAACACUGGUUUUUUCUCAUGUGGUGUGGCUUGUUUUAACUUUUGGAGGCUAGAUAAUUAACUUAAUUCUAAUUAGGGGUGGUUGCAAUCUGAUCCUAUUAUCCUUCAUUAUAGUUACCAACUGGUUCUCUGCAAAAGAUGAUGAAUUUGAACUUUCCCGUUUUUGCCUCCUUCGGUUUCUUUUUCUUUUUCCUUCAAACAAAAUGAAUAAUUGGACAGCAAAUGUACGACCCGAAGAAAUUACAAGACAAAAUACUUCAUGUUUCCUGUUUCCUGUCCUCCUAGUAUUAUGUGGCAUAUAUUAGGGAUGAACUUUUUGGUUGGUAUAACCUGAGAUCUCAAUCUAGGUAGCAUUCCUUUGACAAGGUACAUAAUGUUUGGAUUUAUAUAUUAGGCAAUCUUUAGUAUCGCAUAAUAGAUGAUAUAUAAGCACAAGAUUGUGAUGAAGACUACCAAUUGCUUGGACUUCGAUUCAGAGUAUGACAGAGAUAAUACAAAAUAUCCCUUUCUUUUCCUCUUCAACCCCUUAACUCCAACCCUAUCACACCCACAACACAGACAUCAAACUGCAAGGUAUAUACAUUAUACUAGUCCUAAUAAUAUAUCGGCACCUAAAAACACUGAACUGUUUUCAAUUUUGUGAAGUUCCAUUCAAUUAUUAUGAUCUCACUAGACAUUUCAUCAAACACUAAUUUCGAAUUCUUGGUCUACCUACAAAAUUCGAAGCUUUAUUUUUGUGAACUAGCAACUUGCUGAUUCUGGAGUGAAUUGUGCUUUAAAUAUUUAGGGCCCUGGAAUUACGAGAAAUUUCAUCAUUUAUGCUGCUUACAAGGUAAUUAUGGCUGCUCACAUGGAAUUACCGUAUUUGGACAUUGUUUUUUCUCAAAUUGUUUGAAGUUCCCCGUUUUAUUGUGUAUUUUUGGUGCCUGCAGUUACCAAUGCUUCGAAAAAUAUCACUUGAUAGAUGUGAUGCAAGGGAUGGAGACUUUGACAUUCCAAAUGUAAGAAAUCUUCUUGGCAUAUUAUAAUUUCACCCAUUACCAUUAUGUAGAUGCAAAGUGUUUGACAAACCUGUGAAACUUCACGUGAAAGGCGUUAUCAUUUCAUGGUGCAGUCAUUAUGUAUUUCAUUAUUUCCUUAAUAUAAUCCGGGGGUUUUUGAAGCUUAUAUUCUUGUAUCUUGUGGUUUGGGUAGAAUUGGAUUAGGAUAAAAAGUGAUUAGUUCUACGGUUAAUUAGGCUUUUUAGUAUUGCUAGUCUACAGAAGAAAUAUUAAUCCAUGUUGGACAACUAGAAUUGUUUUCAUUAAGCAACAAAAAUAACAUCACUAAUUGCAUUAACGUGUAAACUUCUUGUUUAUCCAGGUAUUUAUAGUGAAUGUUAUCUUACUGAUAUUACGGACCUGCUCCAGUGUGAUGACAGGUACUUCUUAAGUAGUGUGAAGAUUGCUAGAUGUAAGCUUCGACCCUGCACCUUUGACCUUCAUAAUCCGGAGGGCCGGAGAACCCCCGUGCAUAAAGAAACUUUAAUAUUGGAGUGGAACAGUGAAAAGCUCACAAGAAUUGUGGUGAAGGAAAGACUUUAAUUUCCACGCUUGAAAUCAGAUAUAACAUCUAUGGAAACACUGUGAAGCAUAUGGAAUGCACAAUGUGUUACUGUACAUUAUUUCGACUCCUGCACUCUAAAAGCAUGUUGGAUAUCACUUGGUCUGUAAUAGAUAAUGUUAAUUUAGGUCUUAUAGUAACAUGAAACUAUGUCAUGUUCAGUAAAUUUGAAAAAAAGAGUUAAAAAUUGUUUGUUUUUGAAUAACAUUAUGAUUUUUUUUACAAGGUGCUUUUACUUUGG
RNAcentral lists this long non-coding RNA (5532 nucleotides) under Olea europaea subsp. europaea. The record is from RNAcentral. Lineage: Eukaryota; Viridiplantae; Streptophyta; Magnoliopsida; Lamiales; Oleaceae.